ACUAGGAUUAGAUACCCUACUAUGCUUAAGCACCACUAAGACACAAUCCGCCAGAAGAUUACGAGCGAAAGCCUAAAACUCAAAAGACUUGACGGUGUCCCAACCUUCCUAGAGGAGCCUGUUCCAUAAUCGACAACCCCCGAUACACCUAACCACCUUUAGCAUAUUCUCAGCCUAUAUACCGCCGUCAUUACAGCCUACCUUUUAAAAGAAUUCAAGUAGGCUAAAUAGUAACAUACUAACAAGUCAGGUCAAGGUGUAGCUUAUACGGUGGAGGCAAUGGGCUACAUUAUUUAUAUUAAAACAUACGAUU
This 313-nucleotide ribosomal RNA is filed under the name Proctoporus bolivianus. RNAcentral describes it as "partial 12S ribosomal RNA". It matches the Rfam family "Bacterial small subunit ribosomal RNA", at positions 771 to 1254 of the family's 1533-position model. Lineage: Eukaryota; Metazoa; Chordata; Lepidosauria; Squamata; Gymnophthalmidae. The record is from RNAcentral.